Molecule: small nucleolar RNA, 131 nt
Organism: Octodon degus (degu)
Lineage: Eukaryota; Metazoa; Chordata; Mammalia; Rodentia; Octodontidae
Source: Ensembl
ACUCCAAUAGCAUAAGAAACUGCAAGAAAAACAAAUGUUCAGAAUUGGUCUAUGUGGCUAAAAGUGAGACCCAGGUCAUGCUUCCAUCACAGUAAAUAUUUACAGUGGUGACAAUGAGGCCUGUAACAUUU